RNAcentral lists this ribosomal RNA (708 nucleotides) under uncultured bacterium. Its description in RNAcentral is "bacterial SSU rRNA". It matches the Rfam family "Bacterial small subunit ribosomal RNA", at positions 694 to 1403 of the family's 1533-position model. The record is from RNAcentral.
AUAUUAGGAGGAACACCAGUGGCGAAGGCGACUUACUGGACUGUAACUGACGCUGAGUCACGAAAGCGUGGUAGCAAACAGGAUUAGAUACCCUGGUAGUCCACGCUGUAAACGAUGAGUGCUAGGUGUUGGCCAGCGAUGGUCAGUGCCGCAGUUAACACAAUAAGCACUCCGCCUGGGGAGUACGGUCGCAAGACUGAAACUCAAAGGAAUUGACGGGGACCCGCACAAGCAGCGGAGCAUGUGGUUUAAUUCGAAGCAACGCGAAGAACCUUACCAAGGCUUGACAUCCCCUUGACCAGUGCAGAGAUGUACUCUCUCCUUCGGGAGCAAGGGUGACAGGUGGUGCAUGGUUGUCGUCAGCUCGUGUCGUGAGAUGUUGGGUUAAGUCCCGCAACGAGCGCAACCCUUAUCCUUAGUUGCCAGCAAGUUAAGUUGGGCACUCUAAGGAGACUGCCGGUGAUAAACCGGAGGAAGGUGGGGAUGACGUCAAAUCAUCAUGCCCCUUAUGUCUUGGGCUACACACGUGCUACAAUGGUCGGUACAACGGGGAGCGAAAGAGUGAUCUGGAGCAAAUCCCAAUAAACCGAUCCCAGUUCGGAUUGUAGGCUGCAACUCGCCUACAUGAAGUCGGAGUUGCUAGUAAUCGCGAAUCAGAACGUCGCGGUGAAUGCGUUCCCGGGUCUUGUACACACCGCCCGUAAGGGC